Non-coding RNA from Phrynosoma platyrhinos (Desert horned lizard), 73 nucleotides. The record is from the annotation of a GenBank genome assembly. NCBI's taxonomy places the organism in Eukaryota, Metazoa, Chordata, Lepidosauria, Squamata, Phrynosomatidae.
AGCUAGUGUGGCAUAGUGGUUUGAGCAUUAGACUAUGACUCGAGAGACCAAAAUUCAAAUCUCUGCUUGGCCA